Molecule: long non-coding RNA, 643 nt
Organism: Poeciliopsis prolifica (blackstripe livebearer)
Lineage: Eukaryota; Metazoa; Chordata; Actinopteri; Cyprinodontiformes; Poeciliidae
Exons: 4
Source: RefSeq, a predicted model, not a curated record
GCUGACGUCAUCGCAUGCGACAUUGCACCCCGGUUCUUCUUUGAUCUCAUCAACUCACAAAUAUAUUUCUGCUCCUUCAUAGCUCCCACAAAAGGCACUUGUAAGAGCCACGUCUGUCAAAUCUGUUUGUCAUCUUUGUGUCCUUAGUCUGUUGUUCUUCAUUUAAUCUGUCAACUGUUUUGUUGGUUUGUUUGUUUGUCUGUUUGUCCAUCUGUCACCAUGAGUGUCUCAAACAUCCCUGAUCCAAUAAUGGCCCUGGAUCAUGAGAUACGUCAGCAAAAAUUAAAUUUCCAGCUUCAACAACUUGAUGACUUGAUUGCUGAUCUGAAGAAAAAUGUACCUAAGCGUCAAGCACCUAAGCAGAGACCUAAACCCACAGUAAGGUGGAGAAAAAGGGACAAAGAUGGAAACGUAAUAUAUGAGAGGCCAAGAUCAAAAAGAAAUCAAUUAUCUAAGACUCCCCACAGUGAGAAGACCAGCCGUCCCUCUCAUCUCUCUAACAUUCAGUGUGAAGUUGCCUUUGCUCCAGAGACUGUUGUGUAAAGCUCACCUCCGGGCUUGGUGCAAGCUCCCAGCAGGUUGACCACAUUCAGGUGGUUUCCGAUGUGGAUCAGGAUCUUUAACUCCGACAUCAGAGCUUUAC